CCCAAAGGUCUGCUCAAUGGUGCUGACAUCAGAGUAUACACAUAAAAUUCAAAAUAAAUAAAUAAAUAUUCAUAUAUAGAUUACAAAAUUUUUAACAAAAACAAGUGAAUGCUUAUUAAUAAUAAAUUAAUGACUAAAAAGAACAAAUUAUAAUAAGUGUCAAUAAUGUAUGAACGAAAAAGUCCAUAUCACUUUCUCUGCUUACUGCACCAUUUCCAGGUGUUACUGAUUUCAGAAAGGUCCACUUUAUUUAUGGGUGCUGGUUUAGAAUUUUUGCUGUUGAAGAUUGUCAAGAUUUCACUGAUUUUUCCUUUUUUAAGGUCAUCUUCUUUAAUAACAAGUUCAGCCUCAUUCCAUUUUAUUGAUAAGUCAGUGGAAAUAGCUUUCUGCACUAAAGAUAUAGAAGUUUGAUCUUGAUGAAGAGGUUAUUUAAUCUCUUAAGGAGAUCUAAUGAUAAAGAGGUUAUUUAACUUCUUAAGAAAUGAUAAAGAUAGAAUUGACCUAUCCUCCCUCCCAGGCAUAUAUGAAAUCCCUGCUGUAGAUGAAGAUUUCAAGCAAGAUCUUAAAUAUAUAAGUUAUACAUCAAGAUCAAUUGAAAAAAGAAUUUGUUGAGCACAAAAGGGACAUUCAAAAUGUUAAAAUUUCUACAUCUUCAGCACAGAAAGCUAUUUCCACCGACUUAUCAAUAGAGAGGUGUAGUCCAAUCUCUCACUUAGUUAGUUUUUCUACUAGUUCUUCUGUUUUAGAAUCUGCUUUCCAAAUGACUAAGAUGUCAUCCACAUAUCUAAUAUAAUUUUUAGCUUUUUUACUAAAUAUCUAGUGUAAUCGAUAAUCGACAUAUUCAUGCUCUUUAAGGCAUUUUGCUCCACCUCUCUUAUUACAGUUUCUGCAGGACACCUGCUAAUGAACUGCCGAUGGAUACACUUAUUGUCUGUCUCUACCAUUUUCCUCUAAAAGUACAGGGUGAUUCAGAGGGGUGGUGCCGGAAUUUACAGGUGGGUGGGGGAUGGAAUUCUGAGUGAGGGGGUUUGGGCGCGUUUUUUGAUCUGGAGCUCCGUUGAAGAGUUGUAG
Molecule: long non-coding RNA, 1071 nt
Filed under: Androctonus crassicauda
Lineage: Eukaryota; Metazoa; Arthropoda; Arachnida; Scorpiones; Buthidae
Source: RNAcentral